CGGGGGGGGCAAGCGUUGUUCGGAAUUACUGGGCGUAAAGGGUUCGUAGGUGGCCUGCUAAGUCAGACGUGAAAUCCCUCAGCUUAACUGGGGAACUGCGUCUGAGACUGGCGGGCUUGAGGGCAGGAGAGGAACGCGGAAUUCCAGGUGUAGCGGUGAAAUGCGUAGAUAUCUGGAGGAACACCGGUGGCGAAGGCGGCGUUCUGGACUGCAUCUGACACUGAGGAACGAAAGCCAGGGGAGCAAACGGGAUUAGAUACCCCGGUAGUCCUGGCCCUAAACGAUGAAUGCUUGGUGUGGCGGGUAUCGAUCCCUGCCGUGCCGAAGUUAACGCGAUAAGCAUUCCGCCUGGGGAGUACGGUCGCAAGGCUG
Molecule: ribosomal RNA, 372 nt
Filed under: uncultured organism
Description: bacterial SSU rRNA
Rfam family: Bacterial small subunit ribosomal RNA
Source: RNAcentral